CAGCAGCCGCGGUAAUACGAAGGGGGCUAGCGUUGUUCGGAUUUACUGGGCGUAAAGCGCACGUAGGCGGAUCGUUAAGUCGGGGGUGAAAUCCUGGAGCUCAACUCCAGAACUGCCUUCGAUACUGGCGAUCUUGAGUCCGGAAGAGGUGAGUGGAACUCCUAGUGUAGAGGUGGAAUUCGUAGAUAUUAGGAAGAACACCAGUGGCGAAGGCGGCUCACUGGUCCGGUACUGACGCUGAGGUGCGAAAGCGUGGGGAGCAAACAGGAUUAGAUACCCCAGUAGUCCCUGUCUCUUAUAC
This 301-nucleotide ribosomal RNA is filed under the name uncultured bacterium. RNAcentral describes it as "partial 16S ribosomal RNA". It matches the Rfam family "Bacterial small subunit ribosomal RNA", at positions 509 to 807 of the family's 1533-position model. The record is from RNAcentral.